UUCCCGAAGUUUUUGUUUUUU
This 21-nucleotide non-coding RNA is filed under the name Caenorhabditis elegans. Lineage: Eukaryota; Metazoa; Nematoda; Chromadorea; Rhabditida; Rhabditidae. The record is from RNAcentral.